AAAUGUGGAGAUUCCCCUAUGGGU
Molecule: non-coding RNA, 24 nt
Filed under: Rattus norvegicus (Norway rat)
Lineage: Eukaryota; Metazoa; Chordata; Mammalia; Rodentia; Muridae
Source: RNAcentral